Non-coding RNA from Danio rerio (zebrafish), 709 nucleotides. The record is from Ensembl. Lineage: Eukaryota; Metazoa; Chordata; Actinopteri; Cypriniformes; Danionidae.
UUAGAUAGGCGUUUAUUGUGGCCAGUCUAAAGCUGUGGUUACACUAGCUAAAUUCUGUUGUGUGCUGCACAACACAUUCACAUGUGUAUGAACAAAAGUCUUUAGGGUGAAAAACUCAGCCAGACUGUCUGCAGCACACCUGUCCAAUAGUCAUGCUGUCUUAUCAGCAUCCUGAUGCCAAAGGAGAAGCACUUUAGCAACGAGACCAACAGCCUACGAGGAGCGAGGAGGCUGUUCGUGGAAUCUGGUAACUUACUUUUCGUCUGGGAUCGAUCUUGGACCGGAGUGGGCUAGCAACAUGACCUUCGAUAAUAAAGAGUGAAGAUGCACUCGCUCUGACAAGAUCUGUUUCCACUGAGAUGCUUCAACAAAACCGCUUCAACCAACUGAAAGAACAAAUUAUGUGGAUUAAAUUUAAUGGCCAUAAAUACAACAUGUAUUUAAGUUCAACUAUAAUUUUACAUAUAUACAAUUACUCUGUUAAUGGUUUUUCAAAUAAUGAAUAGCUGCAACUCAAGUUUUUCAGAAGAACCAAAGUUCUACCAGCUUAAUAAAAAGCACUAAAGGUGUGAGAUGAUGUUGAAAAAGUUUCUGUGUUAAAUGUAAUUCUCACCUGUUGCUCUUUUACAUCAUUACAUGUUUUAUCAGCACAUCUUAUCACCAAACCUAAAACAGGAUCAAAAUAAAAAUCACAGAGACUCAUAAAACU